GACGAACGCUGGCGGCGUGCCUAAUACAUGCAAGUUGAGCGCUGAAGGUUGGUACUUGUACCGACUGGAUGAGCAGCGAACGGGUGAGUAACGCGUGGGGAAUCUGCCUUUGAGCGGGGGACAACAUUUGGAAACGAAUGCUAAUACCGCAUAAAAACUUUAAACACAAGUUUUAAGUUUGAAAGAUGCAAUUGCAUCACUCAAAGAUGAUCCCGCGUUGUAUUAGCUAGUUGGUGAGGUAAAGGCUCACCAAGGCGAUGAUACAUAGCCGACCUGAGAGGGUGAUCGGCCACGUUGGGACGAGGACACGGACCAAACUCCUACGGGAGGCAGCAGUAGGGAAUCUUCGGCAAUGGACGAAAGUCUGACCGAGCAACGCCGCGUGAGUGAAGAAGGUUUUCGGAUCGUAAAACUCUGUUGGUAGAGAAGAACGUUGGUGAGAGUGGAAAGCUCAUCAAGUGACGGUAACUACCCAGAAAGGGACGGCUACUACGUGCCAGCCGCCGCUGUAA
Molecule: ribosomal RNA, 512 nt
Filed under: uncultured bacterium
Lineage: Bacteria
Description: partial 16S ribosomal RNA
Rfam family: Bacterial small subunit ribosomal RNA
Source: RNAcentral